Molecule: small RNA, 173 nt
Filed under: Thermosediminibacter oceani
Lineage: Bacteria; Bacillati; Bacillota; Clostridia; Thermosediminibacterales; Thermosediminibacteraceae
Also listed under: 1 other name
Description: c-di-AMP sequence
Rfam family: c-di-AMP riboswitch aptamer (ydaO/yuaA leader)
About the family: This family represents a conserved RNA structure found upstream of the ydaO and yuaA genes in Bacillus subtilis and related genes in other bacteria. The ydaO/yuaA element is thought to act as a genetic "off" switch for the ydaO and yuaA genes in its native state.
Source: RNAcentral
UAAUCUAAAUCGCUGAGUUCUUUCUAUGGCCUAGCCAUAGAAAGAAGCGGGGGACCCAACUUUAUGGGGUGAAUCUCCUUCUUAAGAGGGGCAAAACCCGUAUUAAGAAGGGGUAGGGUUACCUCUUCAACCCGAACCCGUCAGCUAACCUCGUAAGCGUACCGAGAGGAGAU